AAUAUUGCGCAAUGGGCGAAAGCCUGAUGCAGCAACGCCGCGUGCGCGACGAAGGCCUNCGGGUCNUNAAGCGCUUUUCGGGGAGNUGAGCACGGACAGUAUCCCCGGAAGAAGGAUCGGCUAACUACGUGCCAGCAGCCGCGGUAAAACGUAGGAUCCGAGCGUUAUCCGAAUUCACUGGGCGUAAAGCGCAUGCAGGCGGCCGCACAAGUUGGGUGUGAAAUCUCCCGGCUCAACUGGGAGGGGACGUUCAAAACUGUGCGGCUCGAGGGCGGUAGAGGAAGGUAGAAUUCCCGGUGUAGUGGUGAAAUGCGUAGAUAUCGGGAGGAAUACCCGUGGCGAAGGCGACCUUCUGGACCGUUUCUGACGCUCAGGUGCGAAAGCUAGGGGAGCGAACGGG
This 400-nucleotide ribosomal RNA is filed under the name uncultured bacterium. RNAcentral describes it as "partial 16S ribosomal RNA". It matches the Rfam family "Bacterial small subunit ribosomal RNA", at positions 360 to 776 of the family's 1533-position model. The record is from RNAcentral.